UUGGUGCAACGAGGGGCUACAUGCCCCUUAAAAUGCAAUUGCGCCCUCCAUUAUUAUAAAACAUAUUCGAUUCCGCCAUGUCAGUUACAAUGGUAGAAAUUAGGAGGUAAGUCAUAACUCCGAGGAAAACUCCUUUUAAUGCUAAUCACUUGGGUUGGUUGCACCAAAGAAUUGUCUCGAGAAGAAUGUGUGCUAUCAAUCAUGUUCACACCACUCAGAAGUGCUGAAAACUAAGCAUACUAUUAUUGACAAAGAUUGCUGAUGAAAUAUUAGAAUGAUUAAGCGCAGCAAACUUUGAAACCACUUUAACCCUAAACUUCAUGACGUGGGUGGAUAGAUUGCCUGGUGAUAUUUUUGAAUCAGUGAUAUUCUACAGCUAUUAUAUAGAGAAACUUGAGUAACAGAUAUUUAUAGCUUUUAAUGAUGAGUGCUUAAUUUGCAAGACUCUGCUUACUGAUAGUUAUUGUGAUGCUUAGGUUGGGGGCCUAGGCAUUUCCCAGGGGGUUUAACUAUUUAUAGGGUACAUACAGGCUCCAAUAAUAGCGGCGGCUGUUAUUGUGUAAUGCCCUUGCCUGCCCGUACCUGGUUGAUAUUACACUAGGGUCCUCAUUGCAGUGGAUUUCAAGGGAAAAAUGAUGUACUUUGAUUUGAGCUUGCUUUUUUAUACUGUCUCAAGGGUUGUCUGUUGAACUCUUCCUUCAGGAGGUGAUCAUAAACCUUCCCUAUGAUGCUGCCUAGCAUUAUUUAUAGUAUCUUUACGGACUUCUAAAGUUCAAUAGACUCCUGGUGGUACUUCGGGUCUCUCACUUCUUCUUCAAUCAAUUCAAAAAACUUUGAUGGAAUUGACUAUGCAUCAUACAGGAUUGAUAUCCUCGAUAUACUGGCUUGCGGCGUGAAAGGGGGGCUGAUAGAGGGAGGUUUUGACAACAGUCAAAAGAGUCAAGAGAUAGCAAAAUGACGGGCCGG
RNAcentral lists this small RNA (966 nucleotides) under Histoplasma capsulatum. RNAcentral's name for it is "hypothetical RNA". RNAcentral also lists the same sequence under 1 other name. The record is from RNAcentral. Lineage: Eukaryota; Fungi; Ascomycota; Eurotiomycetes; Onygenales; Ajellomycetaceae.